This is a non-coding RNA of Punica granatum (pomegranate), 973 nucleotides long. The record is from RefSeq and is a predicted model, not a curated record. NCBI's taxonomy places the organism in Eukaryota, Viridiplantae, Streptophyta, Magnoliopsida, Myrtales, Lythraceae.
AAUGCACUUAACCCCCGACCUAAAGGUGAGUUAAGGUAUACCCCUGACCUUUAAAUUUUCGCAAAGUGCCUCCCAAUCUUACCGGAAGUAAGCAACAUGCCACCUCGAUUAAAUUCCAUCUAAAAGAGGAUUCAUGCCACUCACUUAAAUUAAAUUAAAAAGGAUAAAAUUGUCCCUAUAUUUCUUAAUUACUUGCAAAAAAAAAAGGUAAAACAAAACAAAAGGAACAUAAGAGAACAGUGGAACGUAUCCAUCUUCUAGGCGACCCUAUCUCCCUGACCUCCGGUUCAAGCCAAUCCCCACGACCCUAUUUCGCCUACCAGCUGCGGUGAUUUUCCCUGUGCGACUAGAUUACGACGCAGAGACCAAACUCUUGCCCUCGCGACUCCAUCACCAGCGAUUGGCCUCGACCGGACUCCAAUAUACACUGACCAACCCUACAAGCCCAUCUCCCCAAGUACCCACGAGGACCAUUUCCCUGCGCCACCAGACUCUGGUUCAGGUGAGGGGCACUCUGCCAAAAUUCAUAGGCAGGGGAGCAAACAUAAUUUCACCUCAUAAGUUGGAAGGUAAAGUGCAUUUAAUCCUUAAGAUAAAGAUAUAUUCACACGUUGAAUGCUAAUAAUUAUUGAUUGAUAUUAUUAUUGUUAGCGAAGUGGAAAACCUUCUCGAGAACGGGAUCUCUAGGCAAGGUGCCAAUUGCCCCUUUGGAGCUGGAAAAGACAGAAAUUACUCUGUACACAAAUUGGGGUUCAAUAAUUUUCAUAAAAUUAGUUCGUUCCGCUUGAUAAUCUCAAUAUUUUUUCUCUUAGAUAGAUGUAUUAGCGUGCCUCUGGCAUGAAAUCUCUAGGUUGGUCCCGAUUCAUAUCGUAUUUGUUAGAUAACUUUAUGUACCACAUAAAACAGUGCAACAGGGACCCAACCAAUUUGGCAAUGCUAAAGCAAAGGAACCCAAGAUUUAUACGCCCUUGAA